AUAUUUAAAAAUCAAUCUGCGCCCCACUCCCGGCUCCGGAGCCAAACUCAACCAUCUCGGGCUGCACAAAGCCAGAGGCGCGCCGGGGGGUUUGCACCGGGAACCGGCACCGAGUGACCCGCCCGCCCCAGCCCGGCCGCGGCGCCUGCUCUGCCUGGAUGUGGCUCGAGCUCCGGGCCGGGCGCGCGGGGCGGGGGCCCUGGAUUAUCCGUGGCGCCUCCCGCCCCAGCGGAGCCGAAAGUUACUCGGAGCUGCUUUCCUCGCGGCCAGUGUCACCUCGGGGCGCGAGCUUUUCUGCCGAGCCGCGGCCCCGCGCGUCCCUCCCGCCGCCCAGACCCGCGCGUCCUUCCCACCUGCUGUGGCCGAAGCGGCUGCCGGGGCGGCCGGGCCGCGCUCCCGGAGACAGACGCGCUGCGCUCCCCCCGCCGGGGACCCGCUCUCCAUUCGCGAGGGCAGCGGCCGAGCUGGGACCGAGUUAUCAACAGAUUGCGGGGCUGCGGCGCCGGCCGGUGAGUCACAGCCCCGCGCACGAGCGGCCCAGCCCGGCCAGCAGCGCCGCCGCCUCUGCGCGCACCUCCCGCGGCGACAGCGGGGACCCGGGGCCGGAGGCAGGCGCGUAACCAUGGGGACCGGGGCGGGCGAUGGCGGCGGGCGGGCUCCUGCCGCAGGGUGGGGAUGGCUCUUCCAGCCGGGCGGCCGCCGUCACACUGCAGAGCGUAUUUAAAGAGACACCUCGCUCCGCGCUCGCUCCCCAGCACCAGACCCUCGCCCGAAAACGCCGCCGGGCGGACUGCACGACCCUGUGUUAUUCCCAAAGACAAUCUCCAUCCGUGGAGAAGCUGCAGGAACAGAAAUAUACACAAGAAAAUGGAUUUGGAAGGAAUUUUCCAUCCUUUAUUUAACAUUCUCAAGUCCAGAUAUGCCAGAACCGAGGUGCACCUGUCGUGAACCCGUCUGAGUGUGAGUCAGCAGGGCAGCCGCAGCCGGUGUAGACAGACAGGGCCUGUGGCUGUGCAGAAAGCGUCCCUGUCCCCCUACCCCAACCCUCCUGCAUCCUGGGCCACAGAGCUGGGCAUCCAGAGCCAAGGCGAGUGUGGAGGCCAGGGUGCCAGGGGCGGCGCAGCCCAGCCUCCCACCCGCAGCGAGGUUUGGGCUCUGCACACAUCCCACAGGUCCCUAUCCUGCCCCAAGGGGCCUCCUACCCGACAAGGUGGGUCCAAGUCCACUCCAGUUUUCGUCACAAACUCCGUUUUCUGGGGCACGUGCUGGCCUGGUGGCAGCCUCAGCAAGAGUCUCAGGAACUGCCCUGGGGGACUCCACACCCCUCCACCUGUUCCCCCUUUGGCCCUGGGUGACCCCACACCCCUCCACCUGUUCCCCCUUUGGCCCUGGGUGACCCCACACCCCUCCACCUGUUCCCUCCUUGGCCUCCACCCUUGCAUGGCUACUUCUGCCCCAGGUUCUGUGACACUGGCGCCUGUUCAGGGGGUCCCCAGGCCCUGCUGCCAUGGAUUUUGAGGGGCCUGAAGGAUGUACUAUUGGGAGGUUGUCAUGAAGACUCACAGAGGCAGAAUUAGAUGCAGGGGUGACAGCGUUCCGCUUCCCCGGCCUCUCAUUAUGGGGCUUUUGAGCGGGAUGUGCUCAGGGCCCCACUGCCCCAUCUAGCUGGUGUUCCCAGAGCCCCUCUGUGGGGACACUGUGCUGGUCCCUGAACUCCAGCUGAGGGACACAGGGUCCAGGCAGGCGACGGUCUAGUUCCCAGCUGGAGACGCUCUAGGCACCCCAGGACCUGGCCGCCCUGACUCCCUGGACACCGUUCCCUUGGAGCCUCGGAGCCCCCCCUGGUGUCCCCUGGGUGAUGGUCCUGGACAAGAGGGCUGGGAAGAAGCGGGCAGCAAGGGGAGGAUUCUGCCCCAGACGUCCCCAGGCCGGGGGUCCCCAUGGGCUCUGCCCUGACGUCUUACUCCUGCACCCAGCGGCUCCCACCACAGAGACUGCUCCAGGUGAGGGUACCACACUGAGCACAGGUCAGCCUGUGUCUCCCGGGAGGCUCCUGGCACAUCACAGUUGGGGCCCAGAGGAGGCCCCGGCCGGUGGGGGGAGUGGCCCUGGCUUGUCUCUUUCCCUGCACACGGACUGGAGCCCUGCCCUGAGUCCCACGGGGACUUUGCGGGGGAACUUCUCGAAGGUGCUGUGGGGGCAGAGGGAGGUGGUGGAGCCAGCCAGGCUCUGGGAGGCCCCAGAGAAGCUCCCACUGCCCACCUCAGUCCUAGCUGGUUUUGGGCCCUGGGCUGGGCCCCCACAGGCUCCAAAGGGAAAGGUUGUCCAAGGGAAAGCCCUGGAGGCCGCUGGUAUCCGGGUAGGACACACAGAAGGCUACCAGGUGCUGUGGGGGCCCUGGGGUCCGGCACUUGAGGCAGACAGGUCCACUGGCUUGCGAAUGUCCUGCUGCCCCCGCACGUGGUGGUCAGGACCCGGGAGGGCUGCCCCUCCCCCCCCAUUCCACACCUAGUGAUAACCUAGGUGAAGGAGAGAGAGCCAGGGGGAGCUGGCACUGCCACGUGUUCCAGAGCUGCCCUUGGGCAGAGUCUGUGGGGCUCGGCCUUGUGAGGGGUGGGGGCACCGGGUGUCUCCUGCUCACUCACAGCUGCCCCCCAGGGCCCCUCCCCCGCUGCUCUGCGAGCCCCUCCCUGGAGCUGCCCUUGGAGGGCACCUGCUUCAGGUCUCAUCUCCAGGGUGGUGCUGGGGACCGGGCACUGUCUCCUGAACAGUCCCACAUGGUGGCCUGGGCGGCACGCCUGUGGGAUGGGGAAACCGAGGCACAGACAGUCACGUGCUCUUCCAGUUGCAGGUUAGACCCCACUUGCGGUUGUGUGUUCCAGAAGUCUCCGGGCGCUGUGUGGCAGGAUGAGGAGCUGCCCCCCUGGAGGAUCACGCAGGCCUCUGGGUGGCAUUCAGCAGGUGAGCCGGCGGCCGUGUGCCCGGCAGCCCGGGGAUGUCAGCACUUGCCCUGCCACCAGAGGUCACUGCCCCGGGCCCUGGGCCCCCGGCCCUCUGCUCACUGUUCAUCAGCAAAGCGUCUGCUUUCUGGACUGCAGGGUUGGCUGCGGCACCGGCUGACCACAGGGCCCACCUUUCCAGUCCCGGCAGGAGAGAAGCGUCUCAACCAUGUUGCAGGCACACGGGUGAGGGUGCUGCCUGCCUCCCUGACUCUUACCUCCCCAAGAGAGGAAAAC
This 3236-nucleotide long non-coding RNA is filed under the name Homo sapiens (human). RNAcentral's name for it is "ADGRA1 antisense RNA 1". Lineage: Eukaryota; Metazoa; Chordata; Mammalia; Primates; Hominidae. The record is from RNAcentral.